CCUACGGGAGGCAGCAGUGAGGAAUAUUGGUCAAUGGGCGAGAGCCUGAACCAGCCAAGUCGCGUGAAGGAUGAAGGAUCUAUGGUUUGUAAACUUCUUUUAUAUGGGAAUAAAGUGAGGAACGUGUUCCUUUUGUAUGUACCAUAUGAAUAAGCAUCGGCUAACUCCGUGCCAGCAGCCGCGGUAAUACGGAGGAUGCGAGCGUUAUCCGGAUUUAUUGGGUUUAAAGGGUGCGUAGGUGGUUAAUUAAGUCAGCGGUGAAAGUUUGUGGCUCAACCAUAAAAUUGCCGUUGAAACUGGUUGACUCGAGUAUAUUUGAGGUAGGCGGAAUGCGUGGUGUAGCGGUGAAAUGCAUAGAUAUCACGCAGAACUCCGAUUGCGAAGGCAGCUUACUAAACUAUAACUGACACUGAAGCACGAAAGCGUGGGGAUCAAACAGGAUUAGAUACCCGUGUAGUC
Molecule: ribosomal RNA, 459 nt
Filed under: uncultured bacterium
Lineage: Bacteria
Description: partial 16S ribosomal RNA
Rfam family: Bacterial small subunit ribosomal RNA
Source: RNAcentral